This 407-nucleotide ribosomal RNA is filed under the name uncultured bacterium. RNAcentral describes it as "partial 16S ribosomal RNA". It matches the Rfam family "Bacterial small subunit ribosomal RNA", at positions 28 to 526 of the family's 1533-position model. The record is from RNAcentral.
GAUGAACGCUAGCUACAGGCUUAACACAUGCAAGUCGCAGGACUGGCGCACGGGUGAGUAACGCGUAUCCAAUCUUCCUAUAACUACGGGAUAACCCGUUGAAAGAAGGCCUAAUACCGUACGGUCAUGGAUGGGGAUGCGUCUGAUUAGCUUGUUGGCGGGGUAACGGCCCCGCAAGGCGACGAUCAGUAGGGGGUCUGAGAGGAAGGUCCCCCACAUUGGAGCUGAGUCACGGUCCAAACUCCGACGGGAGGCAGGAGUGAGGGUUAUUGGGGAAUGGGAGAGAGCCUGACCCAGCCAAGUAGCGUGCAGGGUGACGGCCUAUGGGUUGUAAACUGCUUUUAUGUGGGGAUAGGUACCACAUGAAUAAGCACCGGCUAAUUCCGUGCCAGCAGCCGCGGUAAUUC